GGAUUAUAGAUUUUUUAUUCUAUUAAUAUAUUUAGAUGUUCUUCAAAUAUUUUCCAACAUAUGUGCUCACUUUCGGUUUGGGUGUCACAUUUUUAUAAUCCUUGCAAAAUUUCAAAGUUUUUAUUAUUAUUAUAUUUGUUAUGGUGAUCUGUGAUCAGUGACCCUCGAUGUUGUCAUCAAACCCAGGUUCAGCUGCUCACCUGUCAAAAGCCAAACACAGGAGAGGAGCGAUGGCGGGAAGAAAGCAGGUUUAUCUGGAGAGCCAGUAAUCUGAGAAGAUGGUGGACUAGUAUCCUAAGGAUUCAUGUGCCUCAGUCUUGGAUUCACCUAUUCCUUCAAGAAGCCUUGGGUCCCUUGACCCAAAUAAUUUGGACCCAAGGAAUUUGGAAUUUGGAGAGCAAGCUAUGGACCCUCUGUUGCACCUAUUGCUUAAAGGCGUCAAUCUGCCUGGCUUUCCCUGUGGACAGACCUAGGGGUAUGGAGGCAAACCUCGGAGAUAUUGCAGGUUUAGUCCAGACUACCACAACAAAGCAAAUACUGAAAUAAAGCCAGUCACACAACUUUUAUUUCUCCAUUCAUAUGAAAGAUCCAUCAGAAGAAUCACUAUAUAUGGCACCUAUAGCCUUACAAAAUGUGUAUCUUAAAUAAUGAGACUUGAAAGUUGAAAUGACACCUUGACCCAUGGGCUGCGGAAUGGAUGUUGUGUUAACAGACAUGAAAACACAUUAUUCUCUUCGUAAAUCUCCAUCAGAGCUCUUGGAUGACCAGUUGCAUUUUCAAUGAGAAGUAAUAUAGUGAAGAAAUCUUUUUUUCUCUGAACAGUAGGUCUCAACACGGUUUAAAAUAUUCAGUAAGCAUUGCUGUACAGAUGUCCUCUCAUUCAGACUUUGUUGUUCCAUUUAUAAAUCACAGGCAGAUAACUAGCAUACUUGUUAAGGGUCCUAGAAUUUUCAGAACGAUAAAUGAGAUUUGACUUCAACUUAAAGUCACCAGCUGCAUUAGCCCCUAACAAGAGAAUUAGCCUGUCCUUUGAAGCCAGGCAUUCAUUUCUUCUCUCAAGCUAUGAAAUUUCUAGAUGGUAUCUUCUCCCAAUAGAAGGCUGUUGUGUCUACAUUGAAAAUCUGCUUUUUAGUGUAGCUACCUUCACAGGCUGUUGAAAAAAAAAUGGCACUGAUAGACUUGCUUGAUGCAGGAUUGCCACAAACUUUGAAUUUGUAAAAAAUGUAAUAUCUGUGAAGCAUAGUAAAGUGAAACACAAUAAAAUGUGGUAUGUUUUU
This 1277-nucleotide long non-coding RNA is filed under the name Homo sapiens (human). Its description in RNAcentral is "HSALNT0084633". Lineage: Eukaryota; Metazoa; Chordata; Mammalia; Primates; Hominidae. The record is from RNAcentral.